CUUAUUCGAGUAAUAAAUUUCUUCUUCUUUAAUUUACCGAUUAGUUUAAUUGAGAAACCCAACCGUUUCAUUCUUCCUUCAUUGGUAGUAAUAGCCAUUAAUUUCUACCAAAACCCUUUCUUCUUCCUCUUUGAUGACAACAAUUUCAAACGCUAAUAUCUCAUUUUUGUCUCCAUGGAUAAAAAGAGAGUUCCACUUUUCCUCCAUCCUCCAUGAAGACGGGAAAACCGAUCUUGGCCUGUGUUAUCAAUACAUGCUGUCACCAAAAUUUCAAGCUUUCUUGCAAGUUCAAUCACAAAUUAGAAGAGAAGCAUUUUUUUCCAGUAUUUGUAGCAAAAGAUCAACCAUUGUUAUCAUUCGUUGGUCUUAUAUUUACUUCCUUUUUCCUAAAGCGUUGUUUAUAUGCUUUUUGGAGACGGAUUUAUGUAUCGUCCUUUCAGCGGACUUCACAAAUCGUGCUUAUGGCGCCGGAAGAAGAGAAGACGACUCGCUGUUCUCUUCUUGAUUUUCCCAUUGUGAGGUUCGGAACACAUUAAUUUUGGUUAAGUUAUUUAACUUUACUUGCAGUUGUGUUCUUCUACCAAUAAAUUGCAAAGAAAUUGCAAUGAUUUUUCUUU
Long non-coding RNA from Nicotiana tabacum (common tobacco), 617 nucleotides. RefSeq lists it as uncharacterized. The record is from RefSeq and is a predicted model, not a curated record. Lineage: Eukaryota; Viridiplantae; Streptophyta; Magnoliopsida; Solanales; Solanaceae.